GCCAUGAGUCCGGUUGGUCGAGGGAGUGGUCUUGAAAACUUACUGCCUGUGAAAGGGUCUGGGGUUCGAAUCCCUAUCAUGGCG
This 84-nucleotide transfer RNA is filed under the name butyrate-producing bacterium. RNAcentral's name for it is "tRNA-Ser". RNAcentral also lists the same sequence under 2 other names. The record is from RNAcentral.